AUUGAACGCUGGCGGAAUGCUUUACACAUGCAAGUCGAGCGGCAGCGCGGGGGCAACCCUGGCGGCGAGCGGCGAACGGGUGAGUAAUGCAUCGGAACGUGCCAUUGAGUGGGGGAUAACGUAGCGAAAGUUGCGCUAAUACCGCAUAUUCUGUGAGCAGGAAAGCAGGGGGACCGCAAGGCCUUGCGCUCUUUGAGCGGCCGAUGUCAGAUUAGCUAGUUGGUGAGGUAACGGCUUACCAAGGCGACGAUCUGUAGCGGGUCUGAGAGGAUGAUCCGCCACACUGGAACUGAGACACGGUCCAGACUCCUACGGGAGGCAGCAGUGGGGAAUUUUGGACAAUAGGGCGCAAGCCUGAUCCAGCCAUGCCGCGUGAGUGAAGAAGGACCUUCGGUGUAAG
RNAcentral lists this ribosomal RNA (400 nucleotides) under uncultured bacterium. RNAcentral's name for it is "bacterial SSU rRNA". It matches the Rfam family "Bacterial small subunit ribosomal RNA", at positions 30 to 429 of the family's 1533-position model. The record is from RNAcentral.